Molecule: long non-coding RNA, 299 nt
Organism: Alexandromys fortis (reed vole)
Lineage: Eukaryota; Metazoa; Chordata; Mammalia; Rodentia; Cricetidae
Exons: 4
Source: RefSeq, a predicted model, not a curated record
CGAGUGCUGGCCCAUCGUGGGUCAGUUUUCAAGCAUUGGUUCUCUGGGGCCUGAUGAGUCCAAGUGGCUGUGCUCAGAGUUUAAAGAGAGCUUGCUGGCACAGAGAGAAGAUGGCGGAACUCCAGGGAAAAGUGCAGCUCUUCUUCAUCUGAUCUAACCUUCUGUGGAAAACGUGCGGACCAGCUUAGAAGGAUAUCCUGCUGGGGGCUCCCUUCCCUAUAGCAUCCAGACAGCUGAGAAACAGAAUUGGCUGCAUUCCUACUUUCACAAGUGGUCAGCAGAGACAUCUGGCCGGAGCA